GAGUUAAACUUUAAAUAAGAAAGUUUCUAAAGCGUCAAAAAAACGAUGGUUGCGAAAUGUGUUAAAAAACUUAUGUUGGUAAUGAUGAAACUGCUUAUCCUUAUUUUCCUAAAUGUGCAAGCCAGUGAUUGUGCUCCAAUUUCAUUUUAUUCUUCACCUCCCAUCCUACCUCAAUAUUCCUUUAAAAUUGAUUAUUAUGAACCACUACAUCAGUGCCUUAGACUUGGAGUUGAAUUUCAUUGUCCAAGAAUUAAAAGCACAUGGCCAUUUCCAGACUUUACAUAUGAAAUUUGUAUUUCCGCUACUUUUCACCAAUGUUUAGCUAAUAAUAUGCAAGAAAAAUCAGGUGUGUUUAUUAUCACUAAAAGUUGUGUCAAAGCCAAUUGCCACCCAAAAUUGAAAAUUAGAGCUAGUCAUCGUAGAAGUGCCAGUUAUGUGAGUUGUUUAUUGGAAUGUUAUAAAAAGUAUGUCAGGAAACCCUCAAAUGUCAUUUAUACGCAGAAGCCUUGAGUUUUAGCUUUUAAUCAGCUGUUUUUUAGGAAGUAUCCAUAUCCUUCUUGCCUUCACUGCUGGAUUCUUCUAUGAUAGGACGUCAAGAUGGUAGCAUGCUAGCUCAAGCAUCUGAAUUACAACUGGUACCAAUGUGAUUUUUCCAGAGCAUGGUUGCUGCUGUUGUCCUUGAAGGCAAAAGUUUGCCAUGCAUUACCGCCAAGUGGAGUGGCCCUUCUCUUGGCUUUGUGCCAAUUUUCAAACGGAUUGAGCCAUCGUUUUGACUCUUUCUUACUAGUUUCUAGUUUUUAUUUUUUUUAUUUUUUUUUAUCUCCCCCUUCCUUUUGUUCACCUGUAUUGCUUAGAAAAAAAAAAAUUGUUUUGUUUGUUCAUUUCCUUUUUUGUUUCUUAUUUUUGAAAAAAUGAUAUUCAUCGUAUUAAAGGCAAUGUAUGAAUUAAUCCAAUAAACCUAGCAUUUUUCAUUUCUUUCA
Alnus glutinosa is the source of this 980-nucleotide long non-coding RNA. RefSeq lists it as uncharacterized. Lineage: Eukaryota; Viridiplantae; Streptophyta; Magnoliopsida; Fagales; Betulaceae. The transcript has 2 exons. The record is from RefSeq and is a predicted model, not a curated record.